RNAcentral lists this long non-coding RNA (562 nucleotides) under Struthio camelus australis. RNAcentral describes it as "lncRNA (ENSSCUG00000013469.1)". Lineage: Eukaryota; Metazoa; Chordata; Aves; Struthioniformes; Struthionidae. The record is from RNAcentral.
AUUACAGUCAAAUUUUUUUAUCACAAUGUUUGAGUCACAGCUAAUGAAAACUGUUUACCUGGAGACAUAUUCUUUUCAAAUGACCCACUCUCAUCAUAAUCCUCAGAUGCCAAUGCAUUAGACAGCAACAAUAUUUAUCGCAGCGUACUAUAAAGGACGUUCAUUUUUCCAAAAGUAGCCUGGAAUUCUAAACGAGAGGAGCCUUCCGUCAUAAAUGGCACAGGGAACAACUCCAAACAAGUCUUAAUACUUGCAGAUCUUACGGCUGCAGCCUGGAGAUCAUUUCCAUCUGGUAAAUGCUGGAAUGUUCCUCUCGAGUCCUGAAGACGGAUAACCAGCUUUCGCACAUUGGGGAGGUGAAAGAAGAAAUGAAGAAUAACUUAACCUUGAUGCCCUGAUGUAUUAAGAGAAGGGUGAAAUUAGAAUUCCUUCCAAAAUUAAAACUCUUUCUUCUACUGCAGAGGAAGGUGAAGUGGAGAAGAAGGAGUGCAGAAGGAAAGAUAAAGAAAAUGGGAUGUUUCAAAGACGAUAGGAAUUACGUGAUUAUUUUAUGGUAAAAGUG